AUUGAACGCUGGCGGCAUGCUUUACACAUGCAAGUCGAACGGCAGCGCGGGCUUCGGCCUGGCGGCGAGUGGCGAACGGGUGAGUAAUGCAUCGGAACGUGCCCAGUAGUGGGGGAUAGCCCGGCGAAAGCCGGAUUAAUACCGCAUACGACCUGAGGGUGAAAGCGGGGGACCGAAAGGCCUCGCGCUAUUGGAGCGGCCGAUGUCGGAUUAGCUAGUUGGUGGGGUAAAGGCUUACCAAGGCGACGAUCCGUAGCUGGUCUGAGAGGACGACCAGCCACACUUGGACUGAGACACGGCCCAGACUCCUACGGGAGGCAGCAGUGGGGAAUUUUGGACAAUGGGGGCAACCCUGAUCCAGCCAUGCCGCGUGCGGGAAGAAGGCCUUCGGGUUGUAAACCGCUUUUGUUCGGGAAGAAAUCCUCUGGGCUAAUACCCCGGGGGGAUGACGGUACCGGAAGAAUAAGCACCGGCUAACUACGUG
Molecule: ribosomal RNA, 484 nt
Filed under: uncultured bacterium
Lineage: Bacteria
Description: partial 16S ribosomal RNA
Rfam family: Bacterial small subunit ribosomal RNA
Source: RNAcentral